UGGGGAAUUGUUCGCAAUGGGCGCAAGCCUGACCCAGCAACGCCGCGUGAAGGAUGAAGUAUUUCGGUAUGUAAACUUCGAAAGAAUAGGAAGAAUAAAUGACGGUACUAUUUAUAAGGUCCGGCUAACUACGUGCCAGCAGCCGCGGUAAUACGUAGGGACCAAGCGUUGUUCGGAUUUACUGGGCGUAAAGGGCGCGUAGGCGGCAAUUCAAGUCAUCUGUGAAAUCUCCGGGCUUAACUCGGAACGGUCAGAUGAUACUGCUUUGCUAGAGUGCAGAAGGGGCAAUCGGAAUUCUUGGUGUAGCGGUGAAAUGCGUAGAUAUCAAGAGGAACACCUGAGGUGAAGACAGGUUGCUGGGCUGACACUGACGCUGAGGCGCGAAAGCCAGGGGAGCAAACGGGAUUAGAUACCCUGGUAGUCCCUGAGCGGGCUGGCAAGGCGCAU
Molecule: ribosomal RNA, 447 nt
Filed under: uncultured bacterium
Lineage: Bacteria
Description: bacterial SSU rRNA
Rfam family: Bacterial small subunit ribosomal RNA
Source: RNAcentral